GAGGCUCGCGAAGGACGACCCCGGGGCGAGGGAGACGCUCGCGAUGCUCGGGGUGAUUCCGCCUUUGGUCGGCAUGCUCGACUCAGAUGAUCCCGACCUCCAUAUCGCCGCACUCUACGCGCUUCUCAAUCUGGGGAUCGGCAACGAGUUGUAAGCCCCCUCUCAUUCUCUGAUCUGGGGUCGAAAUCUUACCUGCGGUCGCGAUUGCAGGAACAAGGCGGCCGUCGUGAAGGCCGGCGCGGUCCACAAGAUGCUAAAUCUGAUCGAGUCCGAUAGCUCCGCAUUGGUGUCGGAAGCGAUCGUCGCCAACUUCCUCGGCCUCAGCGCG
Molecule: long non-coding RNA, 328 nt
Filed under: Musa acuminata (dwarf banana)
Lineage: Eukaryota; Viridiplantae; Streptophyta; Magnoliopsida; Zingiberales; Musaceae
Description: long non-coding RNA (MACU_LNC001091)
Source: RNAcentral